RNAcentral lists this ribosomal RNA (1046 nucleotides) under Leifsonia sp. Its description in RNAcentral is "bacterial SSU rRNA". It matches the Rfam family "Bacterial small subunit ribosomal RNA", at positions 384 to 1440 of the family's 1533-position model. Lineage: Bacteria; Bacillati; Actinomycetota; Actinomycetes; Micrococcales; Microbacteriaceae. The record is from RNAcentral.
UGAUGCAGCAACGCCGCGUGAGGGACGACGGCCUUCGGGUUGUAAACCUCUUUUAGUAGGGAAGAAGCGAAAGUGACGGUACCUGCAGAAAAAGCACCGGCUAACUACGUGCCAGCAGCCGCGGUAAUACGUAGGGUGCAAGCGUUGUCCGGAAUUAUUGGGCGUAAAGAGCUCGUAGGCGGUUUGUCGCGUCUGCUGUGAAAACCCGAGGCUCAACCUCGGGCCUGCAGUGGGUACGGGCAGACUAGAGUGCGGUAGGGGAGAAUGGAAUUCCUGGUGUAGCGGUGGAAUGCGCAGAUAUCAGGAGGAACACCGAUGGCGAAGGCAGUUCUCUGGGCCGUAACUGACGCUGAGGAGCGAAAGCGUGGGGAGCGAACAGGAUUAGAUACCCUGGUAGUCCACGCCGUAAACGUUGGGCGCUAGAUGUGGGGACCAUUCCACGGUUUCCGUGUCGCAGCUAACGCAUUAAGCGCCCCGCCUGGGGAGUACGGCCGCAAGGCUAAAACUCAAAGGAAUUGACGGGGGCCCGCACAAGCGGCGGAGCAUGCGGAUUAAUUCGAUGCAACGCGAAGAACCUUACCAAGGCUUGACAUAUACGAGAACGGGCCAGAAAUGGUCAACUCUUUGGACACUCGUAAACAGGUGGUGCAUGGUUGUCGUCAGCUCGUGUCGUGAGAUGUUGGGUUAAGUCCCGCAACGAGCGCAACCCUCGUUCUAUGUUGCCAGCACGUUAUGGUGGGAACUCAUAGGAGACUGCCGGGGUCAACUCGGAGGAAGGUGGGGAUGACGUCAAAUCAUCAUGCCCCUUAUGUCUUGGGCUUCACGCAUGCUACAAUGGCCGGUACAAAGGGCUGCAAUACCGUAAGGUGGAGCGAAUCCCAAAAAGCCGGUCUCAGUUCGGAUUGAGGUCUGCAACUCGACCUCAUGAAGUCGGAGUCGCUAGUAAUCGCAGAUCAGCAACGCUGCGGUGAAUACGUUCCCGGGCCUUGUACACACCGCCCGUCAAGUCAUGAAAGUCGGUAACACCCGAAGCCGGUGGCCUAACC